CCAGGAGGUUGGCUUAGAAGCAGCCAUCCUUGAAAGAGUGCGUAAUAGCUCACUGGUCAAGUGAUUCUGCGCCGAUAAUGUAGCGGGGCUCAAGUACACCGCCGAAGUUAUGGCAAUCAGUCCUUGUGGCUGGUUGGGUAGGGGAGCGUCCUGCAUGAGGUGAAGCUGCCACGGGAGUGUGUGGUGGAUUGUGUGGGAGUGAGAAUGCAGGCAUGAGUAGCGAAUCACGGGUGAGAAACCCGUGCGCCGGAUGAUCAAGGGUUCCAGGGUCAAGUUAAUCUGCCCUGGGUUAGUCGGGGCCUAAGGCGAGGCCGACAGGCGUAGUCGAUGGAUAACGGGUUGAUAUUCCCGUACCAGUGAAGAACCGUCCAUACUGAUAUUGUGAUGCUAACCAUGCCGAACACAGUGUGCUGCUCUUUUGGGUGGUGUGUUGUGGGGUGUGUGGGACCCAGGCUUUGGAGGUAAGCGUGUUAACAGGUGUGACGCAGGAAGGUAGCCAAGCCACGCGGUGGUUGUCGUGGUCUAAGCGUGUAGGAUGGUUGGUUGUUAAAUGCGCCAGCUGUGUGUCUGAGACGUGAUGGGACCCCGUUGUUGGGGGAUUUGGUGAUCCUAUGCUGUCGAGAAAAGCAUCGGCGUGAGGUUUGAGCUGCCCGUACCCGAAACCGACACAGGUGAUCAGGUAGAGAAUACUAAGGCGAUCGAGAGAAUCAUGGUUAAGGAACUCGGCAAAAUGCCCCCGUAACUUCGGGAGAAGGGGGGCCCGAACCCUGAGGCCCCGUGCGGGCUAGGGGGGUGGGUCGCAGAGACCAGGGGGAAGCGACUGUUUACUAAAAACACAGGUCCGUGCGAAGCCGUAAGGCGAUGUAUACGGACUGACGCCUGCCCGGUGCUGGAAGGUUAAGAGGAACCAUCAACCCCCCUUUUGUGGGGGUGAAGUGGUGAAUUUAAGCCCCAGUAAACGGCGGUGGUAACUAUAACCAUCCUAAGGUAGCGAAAUUCCUUGUCGGGUAAGUUCCGACCUGCACGAAUGGAGUAACGACUUCCCUACUGUCUCAACCAUGAACUCGGUGAAAUUGCAGUACGAGUAAAGAUGCUCGUUUCGCGCAGCAGGACGGAAAGACCCCGUGACCUUUACUAUAGUUUGGUAUUGGUGUUUGGGUUGGCUUGUGUAGGAUAGGUGGGAGACUGUGAAGCCGCUACGCUAGUGGUGGUGGAGUCGUUGUUGAAAUACCACUCUGGUCAAUCUGAGCGUCUAACUUCGGGCCAUGAUCUGGUUCAGGGACAGUGCCUGAUGGGUAGUUUAACUGGGGCGGUUGCCUCCUAAAGUGUAACGGAGGCGCCCAAAGGUUCCCUCAGCCUGGUUGGCAAUCAGGUGUUGAGUGUAAGUGCACAAGGGAGCUUGACUGUGAGAGUGGCGGCUCGAGCAGGUGCGAAAGCAGGGACUAGUGAUCCGGCAGUGGCGUGUGGAAGCGCUGUCGCUCAACGGAUAAAAGGUACCUCGGGGAUAACAGGCUGAUCUUGCCCAAGAGUCCAUAUCGACGGCAUGGUUUGGCACCUCGAUGUCGGCUCGUCGCAUCCUGGGGCUGGAGUCGGUCCCAAGGGUUGGGCUGUUCGCCCAUUAAAGCGGUACGCGAGCUGGGUUCAGAACGUCGUGAGACAGUUCGGUCCCUAUCCGCUGCGCGCGUUGGAGAAUUGAGAAAGGCUGUCCUUAGUACGAGAGGACCGGGACGGACGAACCUCUGGUAUGUCAGUUGUACCGCCAGGUGCAUGGCUGAUUGGCUACGUUCGGGAGGGAUAACCGCUGAAAGCAUCUAAGCGGGAAGCUUGUUUCGUGAUGAGUUCUCCUGGCACCCUUUGGGUGUGUGAGGUUCCCUGUAGAUGACGGGGUUGAUAGGCCGGGUAUGGAAGCGCUGUAAGGUGUGGAGUUGACUGGUACUAAUAGACCGAAGGCUUACAUU
This 1958-nucleotide ribosomal RNA is filed under the name human metagenome. RNAcentral's name for it is "bacterial LSU rRNA". It matches the Rfam family "Bacterial large subunit ribosomal RNA", at positions 1093 to 2925 of the family's 2925-position model. The record is from RNAcentral.